RNAcentral lists this ribosomal RNA (98 nucleotides) under Staphylococcus aureus. RNAcentral describes it as "partial 16S ribosomal RNA". It matches the Rfam family "Bacterial small subunit ribosomal RNA", at positions 1437 to 1533 of the family's 1533-position model. Lineage: Bacteria; Bacillati; Bacillota; Bacilli; Caryophanales; Staphylococcaceae. The record is from RNAcentral.
AGCCGUUUAGGAGCUAGCCGUCGAAGGUGGGACAAAUGAUUGGGGUGAAGUCGUAACAAGGUAGCCGUAUCGGAAGGUGCGGCUGGAUCACCUCCUUU